RNAcentral lists this transfer RNA (65 nucleotides) under Torymus sp. ZJUH_2016035. Its description in RNAcentral is "tRNA-Ser". It matches the Rfam family "tRNA". Rfam says of the family: Transfer RNA (tRNA) molecules are approximately 80 nucleotides in length. Lineage: Eukaryota; Metazoa; Arthropoda; Insecta; Hymenoptera; Torymidae. The record is from RNAcentral.
AAUUAUUUAGCUUAAAAAGUGUAUGUCUUGAAAACAUAAGAAAGAGGUUGUACCUUUAAUAAUUU